AAUUCUCAACCUUUCUAGUUUUUAUUAACUAGUCAGGCUUGGAUGUGGGGGUUGCGGGCUUCUCAGAAGUCGGCUCUCCUUAAAUGCAUUAGUGAAACCUUUGGUUGACCAUCUCUGGUGUGAUAAUUAUCUACGCCGCUGAGAAUCUUCCUUCAUUAUGGGGCUUUGCUUCUAACCGUCUUCUCUGAAGACAACUCUUGACA
This 203-nucleotide unclassified non-coding RNA is filed under the name uncultured Lyophyllaceae. RNAcentral's name for it is "sequence contains ITS2". The record is from RNAcentral. Lineage: Eukaryota; Fungi; Basidiomycota; Agaricomycetes; Agaricales.